Triticum aestivum (bread wheat) is the source of this 805-nucleotide long non-coding RNA. RefSeq lists it as uncharacterized. NCBI's taxonomy places the organism in Eukaryota, Viridiplantae, Streptophyta, Magnoliopsida, Poales, Poaceae. The record is from RefSeq and is a predicted model, not a curated record. The transcript is spliced from 5 exons.
AAGAACGCAGACCAAAAUCUGGCAUCGCGAGGAGGUCAAAUCGGAAACCUCCCCCUCCCCCUCCCCCAUAUCUUAUCAACACAGUUCCCUUCCUCGUCUCGUAGGAUCUCUAUCUUGAGGAGAUCGAUCAUGGCCUGCCCUCCCUCCUGAACCUCGUAGCUGACCCCGCCGCCGCCGAUUCAUUGAGGAUUUGAGGUUGAGGGCACAAGAGGCAUGUCUUGUUCAGCAACUGGGAUGGAAAGCAGAUCAGUCCCCACCCCCGAUUCAUAGAAACACAAGGUUUACUGAACAUAAGAGGUGGCUUAAAUCUAGUAACUAUUAAGGUUUCAGGUGUGGACGCGUGCAAUAUUUCAAUGUAGUUCUGCACCAUUACUACCUUGCAGAUAUGUAAUGGACAAGAAUUUCAGUGCACGGGCGAAGGGAAAUAGAUUCUGCUGCAGAUAAGGCAGGAACUAAAGUAUUCUUGAAGAGCCCGAAAAAUCAUAACAAGGGCGUAGCUCUAGAUACAAUGAUUCAAAAGAUAAAUGGAUGAGUAUAUGGGAGCGUGGGGAUUAUACUGCAAUGAUGAUGUCGAUGAUCCGUUUCAUGAUGAUGAUGACGGAUGCAUUUAGUUUUAGUUAUGUUGUAGGGAUGACGUUCCUGUCGGAUGUUGUUCCUUAGUUAAGAUGGAUAUUUUCAGUUUAAGUUUCACUGUCAAGAAAAUUGUUAGAUUAUGCAUCACAUUUGGAUGAUGUUCCUCCUGUAAUAUCCACUAUUGUAAUCCAACAGUUUUGAUCUAAUAUAUGAUUUCUUCCUCUCGUGAGUA